Molecule: long non-coding RNA, 1684 nt
Filed under: Mytilus galloprovincialis (Mediterranean mussel)
Lineage: Eukaryota; Metazoa; Mollusca; Bivalvia; Mytilida; Mytilidae
Source: RNAcentral
AUGUUUCACACUGAAAAAAAUACCUAGUAAAUAUUACUAGUUUGGCUAGUACUUCAUUAAAAGUCCCUAGUAGAUUAUCAAACAACUAAUUAGACUAGUAUGUUUACUAUCGUGGAUGCAUCGUAUUACCAGGAACCAGCUGUGCAACUGAUAACAGGAUUUCCCGCCGGACGAUAUCAUAUUCGCGUGGCCAAGUUCUGUUGUACAUGAAGUGAUGGCCGCAAUCAAACGAAUAAAGAACCUGAGUGAUUUUUGGCCUGAUUCAUUGAAAAGCUGUAAGUAUUUUAACUAAUUUGUGUUUUAUUUUAUCGUCUUAACUUGUUUACACAAAAAAAAGAACCACAUCAUCUCGCCUUUCACGUAAAAUAAAAUGUACUACAGAAGAUGGUCAAGAUAACCUUGUGACACGUGGAACAAACUUUAUCUAUUUAAGUUAAGAUUUACAAGAUGCAGAUUUCGUUAUUCUAAUAUUAACACCUUUCUUCUUUUUUUUAAUACGUUUCUUUUUUUAAUACGAAAACUAAUUAAUAAUCCUUCUAUUUCACCACAGAAAACCGUAACUUAAAUCCGAAACGUUUUAUGAUUAUAUAAUUAAAGUGCGCCUCGUUAUGAAAUUAAUAUGGCUGCGCCCAUGUAGUGAAAAAUAUGAACCUGCCAAAACUAACACAGUCAAUACAUGGUAUAUCUUCAAUAUUUUCACAUCAAAUAUGAAAUUGAGAAACAUUUGAAAGCACCACAGAAUGUACUUGAUGACAUACAUGCACCAUGUAGGUGUACACUUGCAUCUUGACUCUGAGUGCACAAAUGCAUUCUAAUUUCAAACAAGUAAUAGCUUUUCUAAAAAGCUAGCCGUCUCUUAGCUUCAGGAUGAAAGUAGAAAGUGUUAAAAUUCAUAAAGGCUAAUACAAUUUUUCCUAAUUUACUAAUGUUUUUUUGGGAUAAUUUACCAACACUGGAUUAGAAAGGGUGAUGCCUUAACUGUUUUUUUUAAUUAAAUAUGAAAAUAUUUAUAAAAGUAUAUUUUAAACAUGGCUCUGGGAUAAUUAUUGUUUUUGCCAGUAUUUUAACUCUCUGUAUAGCAGUAUAAUUGUAGAUUUAAUAUUAAUGCAUACAUAUUACACUCGUUAAUGUCUUACUUGAAAUACUACAGUUAUGCAUUAUAAAAGCUAAAAAAAAAAAAAAAGCAUAAAUGUAAAUUUCAGUGUGUAUCUAUAUAUAUGUCUGACAUGAUGACUCACCUAUCACACACAUAAUAAGAAACAAAGUGAAAUAUAGUUUUUUUAAAUACAAUGUAUUAGUAGAAAUUGACAGUAGAGUUCUAGUUAAUCUAUAUUAAUUAAUAUUGACAACACUACAUGUAGUUUUAUUAUGGAUUUUUGUAUAAUUUCAGGUUCUGAAAAAAUCACAGGGGAUGAUAAAUUUAGACAAGAAGGAUCGACCACCAACAUGCUACACUUACUGGAACUUGAAAAACCUGCAAUUCACAAGAACAAGCCAAAGACUAGUAUUACCGUACAAAGUGGUUGAGGGUAUGGUCCCAGCUAUCCAAACCUGACAAAUUAUUGGUAACAAGCAAUCUUUACCAAAAAGGAACAUCAAGCCGACACACGCUUUGCAGACUUUGAAAGUGAUAAUUUAUAAAUUUGGUUAAGGCUAUUGAAACAACAAACUGUGAAAACGAGCA